This 275-nucleotide ribosomal RNA is filed under the name uncultured Runella sp. RNAcentral describes it as "partial 16S ribosomal RNA". It matches the Rfam family "Bacterial small subunit ribosomal RNA", at positions 338 to 610 of the family's 1533-position model. The record is from RNAcentral. Lineage: Bacteria; Pseudomonadati; Bacteroidota; Cytophagia; Cytophagales; Spirosomataceae.
CCUACGGGGGGCAGCAGUAGGGAAUAUUGGGCAAUGGAUGCAAGUCUGACCCAGCCAUGCCGCGUGGAGGAAGAAGGUCCUCUGGAUUGUAAACUCCUUUUGUCGGGGAAGAAGAGUCAUCUUGCGAGGUGAUGUGACGGUACCCGAUGAAUAAGCCACGGCUAACUACGUGCCAGCAGCCGCGGUAAUACGUAGGUGGCAAGCGUUGUCCGGAUUUAUUGGGUUUAAAGGGUGCGUAGGUGGUUUAUUAAGUCAGUGGUGAAAGCUGGUUGCUC